AACUAACGCUGGCGGCGUGCCUAACACAUGCAAGUCGUACGAGAAAGUUGGCUUCGGCUGAUGAGUAAAGUGGCGCACGGGUGAGUAACGCGUGGAUAAUCUGCCUUUUAGUUGGGAAUAACGUACCGAAAGGUGCGCUAAUACCGGAUAAUACUGCAUAACUACUGUUGUGUAGUCAAAGAAGGCCUCUGUUUACAAGCUUUUGCUGAAAGAUGAGUCCGCGUACCAUUAGCUAGUUGGUAGGGUAAUGGCCUACCAAGGCUACGAUGGUUAGCUGGUCUGAGAGGAUGAUCAGCCACACUGGAACUGAGACACGGUCCAGACUCCUACGGGAGGCAGCAGUGAGGAAUAUUGCGCAAUGGGGGCAACCCUGACGCAGCAACGCCGCGUGAGUGAGGAAGGUUUUCGGACCGUAAAGCUCUGUCGAACGGGAAGAAAUGUAUCGUGGCUAAUAUCCAUGAUAUUUGACGGUACCGCUAAAGGAAGCACCGGCUAACUCCG
RNAcentral lists this ribosomal RNA (501 nucleotides) under uncultured bacterium. RNAcentral's name for it is "bacterial SSU rRNA". It matches the Rfam family "Bacterial small subunit ribosomal RNA", at positions 29 to 505 of the family's 1533-position model. The record is from RNAcentral.